GCAGGGGGAGCAACAUGAAGUCACAGACCCAGGUCCUCAUAUCCCUGCUUCUAUGGGUGUCUGGUAACUGUGCAGAUAUCACGAUGACUCAGUCUCCAUCCUCCCUGGCUGUGUCAGCAGGAGAGAAAGUCACCAUCAGCUGCAGGUCCAGUCAGAGUCUUUUAUCCAGCAAAGACCAAAAGAACUACUUGGCCUGGUACCAGCAGAAACCAGGGCAAUCCCCUAAGCUGCUGAUCUACUAUGCAUCCACUUCGUACACUGGGGUCCCUGAUCGCUUCACAGGCAGUGGAUCUGGGACAGAUUUCACUCUCACCAUCAGCAGUGUGCAGGCUGAAGACCUGGCAGAUUACUACUGUCAGCAGCAUUAUAGUGCUCCUCACACAGUGCUUCAGACUGUCAAUCUGAGAUAG
Meriones unguiculatus (Mongolian gerbil) is the source of this 410-nucleotide non-coding RNA. Lineage: Eukaryota; Metazoa; Chordata; Mammalia; Rodentia; Muridae. The record is from the annotation of a RefSeq genome assembly.